UUGAACGCUGGCGGCAGGCCUAACACAUGCAAGUCGAGCGGAUGAGUGGAGCUUGCUCCAUGAUUCAGCGGCGGACGGGUGAGUAAUGCCUAGGAAUCUGCCUGGUAGUGGGGGACAACGUUUCGAAAGGAACGCUAAUACCGCAUACGUCCUACGGGAGAAAGCAGGGGACCUUCGGGCCUUGCGCUAUCAGAUGAGCCUAGGUCGGAUUAGCUAGUUGGUGAGGUAAUGGCUCACCAAGGCGACGAUCCGUAACUGGUCUGAGAGGAUGAUCAGUCACACUGGAACUGAGACACGGUCCAGACUCCUACGGGAGGCAGCAGUGGGGAAUAUUGGACAAUGGGCGAAAGCCUGAUCCAGCCAUGCCGCGUGUGUGAAGAAGGUCUUCGGAUUGUAAAGCACUUUAAGUUGGGAGGAAGGGUAGUAACCUAAUACGUUGCUACUUUGACGUUACCGACAGAAUAAGCACCGGCUAACUUCGUG
RNAcentral lists this ribosomal RNA (483 nucleotides) under uncultured bacterium. RNAcentral's name for it is "bacterial SSU rRNA". It matches the Rfam family "Bacterial small subunit ribosomal RNA", at positions 30 to 507 of the family's 1533-position model. The record is from RNAcentral.